Molecule: long non-coding RNA, 517 nt
Filed under: Olea europaea (common olive)
Lineage: Eukaryota; Viridiplantae; Streptophyta; Magnoliopsida; Lamiales; Oleaceae
Description: long non-coding RNA (OEUR_LNC004929)
Source: RNAcentral
AAGUAUCCGUCAAGUUUGAUGUAUAUAAGAAGUGAUUGGAGUUCCGGUUAAAGAAGAAAAAGUUCAUUCUUGAAGAUUUACAAGGAAAAAGAAGUCCAAAGGUUCUAAAGCAAGUGUUGGUGCAUAGAACCUUGGAGUUAAUUCAGGUAAUUAUAGAUUGAGAUUAAGAGUUUUCUAAGGUUUAGUUGUGUCUAGAGUAGAAUUGUAAGUUCAAUUUUUUUUUAGUGGAUCAUUUGGUGGCACUGGGUACUCCGAGGUUUUUUCUCUUGAAGAGUUCUUCAGGGAUUUUUCUAUCUUAAACUAUUCUAGGAGUUAUUUACUUUUUACAUGCUUACUUGCUUAGAUGAUCACUCCGUUGCAAAAUUGAUUUUCUAUACAUCCAGGGGCGGACCCAGACCCUUUCGGUUAGAGGGGUCACAAUUAAACUUUCAAACGAUGAAGAAAUUGUAAAUGGUAAUGACAAUUCGUAGUCGACAGACUGAGAGAGAGAGAGACAAAGGCACAAAGUUGAGUUUGU